GUUGGUGGUUUGACGCCAGGGUCACACCUGUUCUCAUUCCGAACACAGAAGUUAAGCCUGGUAGUGGCGAUGAUACUUGCAAAGGGAAAGUAGCUAGCCGCCAACA
Molecule: ribosomal RNA, 106 nt
Filed under: bacterium
Lineage: Bacteria
Source: RNAcentral